RNAcentral lists this ribosomal RNA (253 nucleotides) under uncultured bacterium. RNAcentral describes it as "partial 16S ribosomal RNA". It matches the Rfam family "Bacterial small subunit ribosomal RNA", at positions 524 to 776 of the family's 1533-position model. The record is from RNAcentral.
UACAGAGGUCUCAAGCGUUGUUCGGAUUCAUUGGGCGUAAAGGGUGCGUAGGCGGCGCGGUAAGUCGGGUGUGAAAUCUUGGAGCUUAACUCCGAAACUCCAUUCGAUACUGCCGUGCUUGAGGACUGGAGAGGAGACUGGAAUUUACGGUGUAGCGGUGAAAUGCGUAGAUAUCGUAAGGAAGACCAGUGGCGAAGGCGGGUCUCUGGACAGUUCCUGACGCUGAGGCACGAAGGCCAGGGGAGCAAACGGG